ACGCUCGACACCUACGGGGGCAGCAGUGGGGAAUAUUGCACAAUGGGGGAAACCCUGAUGCAGCGACGCCGCGUGAGCGAAGAAGUAUUUCGGUAUGUAAAGCUCUAUCAGCAGGGAAGAAACUGACGGUACCUGACUAAGAAGCACCGGCUAAAUACGUGCCAGCAGCCGCGGUAAUCUGAGGCGGGCGUGGCGAAGGC
This 200-nucleotide ribosomal RNA is filed under the name uncultured bacterium. Its description in RNAcentral is "partial 16S ribosomal RNA". It matches the Rfam family "Bacterial small subunit ribosomal RNA", at positions 328 to 544 of the family's 1533-position model. The record is from RNAcentral.